RNAcentral lists this ribosomal RNA (860 nucleotides) under uncultured Actinomycetes bacterium. RNAcentral's name for it is "bacterial SSU rRNA". It matches the Rfam family "Bacterial small subunit ribosomal RNA", at positions 26 to 896 of the family's 1533-position model. Lineage: Bacteria; Bacillati; Actinomycetota; Actinomycetes. The record is from RNAcentral.
AGGACGAACGCUGGCGGCGUGCUUACCUCAUGCAAGUCGAACGGAAAGGCCUGCAGCUUGCUGCGGGUACUCGAGUGGCGAACGGGUGAGUAACACGUGGGUGAUCUGCCUUGCACUUCGGGAUAAGCUUGGGAAACUGGGUCUAAUACCGGAUAGGACAGCUGUUUAGUGUCAGUUGUGGAAAGUUUUUUCGGUGCAAGAUGAGCUCGCGGCCUAUCAGCUUGUUGGUGGGGUAAUGGCCUACCAAGGCGUCGACGGGUAGCCGGCCUGAGAGGGUGUACGGCCACAUUGGGACUGAGAUACGGCCCAGACUCCUACGGGAGGCAGCAGUGGGGAAUAUUGCACAAUGGGCGGAAGCCUGAUGCAGCGACGCCGCGUGGGGGAUGAAGGCCUUCGGGUUGUAAACUCCUUUCGACAGGGACGAAGCGUAAGUGACGGUACCUGUAUAAGAAGCACCGGCUAACUACGUGCCAGCAGCCGCGGUAAUACGUAGGGUGCGAGCGUUGUCCGGAAUUACUGGGCGUAAAGAGCUCGUAGGUGGUUUGUCGCGUCGUCUGUGAAAUUCCGGGGCUUAACUCCGGGCGUGCAGGCGAUACGGGCUGACUUGAGUGCUGUAGGGGAGACUGGAAUUCCUGGUGUAGCGGUGAAAUGCGCAGAUAUCAGGAGGAACACCGAUGGCGAAGGCAGGUCUCUGGGCAGUAACUGACGCUGAGGAGCGAAAGCAUGGGUAGCGAACAGGAUUAGAUACCCUGGUAGUCCAUGCCGUAAACGGUGGGCGCUAGGUGUAGGGGGCUUCCACGUCUUCUGUGCCGUAGCUAACGCAUUAAGCGCCCCGCCUGGGGAGUACGGCCGCAAGGCUA